GUUUCCCUUGACGUUCGACAAGGCGAUGUAACGGUUCCCGCCCGAGAUCUACGUGGCGACAAGUGCAGCAUCUGUCACGCACGUUGUGCCCAUGCCGUUUUGCAACAUUGGUCUCCGGCGAAGUCAUCCGCCGUAUCCGUGACAUCGUUACUGGCAGCCGGGGCCCCUUCAAUACCGAACAUUAUAAUCUUCACAAUGGACUACAGACUCGUGACUGUGAACCUAGAUGGCCCUCUCCAAGCACCGAGACUUUUUCCCCAUCAUAGCAUAAAUGAUCCAUGCGACUGCUGCCAGUCUGGAACGUCUGGACAAAGGAAACGACUCGUCGUGGAGCGCUUCGGCAUCUUUAACCCCUUCAGGUGGGCCACAGCUGUCAGGGUGGCACGCCAAGCUUUUGACUGCGGUGUCUAAAUGCACGGUUGCAUUCGGUAUUGCUUGCGGGGUUUCUAUCUAGCGACACUCGCAAUAACUGCUAGGUCAAUUCAAUUGCGGUCAAUUUCGCCGCUCAAAGACGGGAGUGGGCUAAGGCGGUCACAGCGCGGCGGGUUCUUCUCCGUGGCGGAAACGAGAGUGGCAUCCAAGCUUCAGUCGAGCCGCUCGGGGUCUGAAUCGUCGCACAGCUUC
Molecule: long non-coding RNA, 624 nt
Organism: Rhipicephalus microplus (southern cattle tick)
Lineage: Eukaryota; Metazoa; Arthropoda; Arachnida; Ixodida; Ixodidae
Source: RefSeq, a predicted model, not a curated record